This 462-nucleotide ribosomal RNA is filed under the name uncultured bacterium. RNAcentral's name for it is "partial 16S ribosomal RNA". It matches the Rfam family "Bacterial small subunit ribosomal RNA", at positions 355 to 833 of the family's 1533-position model. The record is from RNAcentral.
UGGGGAAUAUUGGACAAUGGGGGCAACCCUGAUCCAGCAAUGCCGCGUGUGUGAAGAAGGUCUUCGGAUUGUAAAGCACUUUCGACGGGGACGAUGAUGACGGUACCCGUAGAAGAAGCCCCGGCUAACUUCGUGCCAGCAGCCGCGGUAAUACGAAGGGGGCUAGCGUUGCUCGGAAUGACUGGGCGUAAAGGGCGUGUAGGCGGUUUACACAGUCAGAUGUGAAAUCCCCGGGCUUAACCUGGGAGCUGCAUUUGAUACGUGUAGACUAGAGUGUGAGAGAGGGUUGUGGAAUUCCCAGUGUAGAGGUGAAAUUCGUAGAUAUUGGGAAGAACACCGGUGGCGAAGGCGGCAACCUGGCUCAUGACUGACGCUGAGGCGCGAAAGCGUGGGGAGCAAACAGGAUUAGGAUACCCUGGUAGUCCACGCUGUAAACGAUGUGUGCUAGAUGUUGGGUAACUU